GCUAUAGAAUUGCACUGUUCUCUCUGUGUUAUAGUUCCAUAACUUUCCUUGGAUUUUCAAUGAUGCAGGUUGGAAAAUCAACAAAAGGCUAAGAAAUGGGUCCUUGCAGUACUAUACUGUCAUUUUGGUUACUCAGAACUAAUUUUCUGAUGUUACAGGUUCUUCCCUCUGUGUCUCUGCUAUUGAUUACAAUGUGAUGCAUUUUGCGGUGGAGAGAUUAUUGUAAAUUUCAAGACCAGGCUGAAAUAUUUUUAAAUUGAAUUUCAGACAUAUUUUCAAAAGUACUCAACUAAGCAUGAUAUAUCUUCAGUUCCCAUUCACGACAAAGUCACAGAAUUAUACCAUCCGGAACUAGGUGAAUGAGUGAUUUGUGGAAGGGAAAGUCCUUUGUUUGCAGCAAAAAAGGUUAAGAGGUUGAAGCCAAACCUCUGAGAAGAUGAUGAAGGUACAGAGUGGGCAUUCAAUCUGUGAUCUCCCUAUGCAAGAGAAAUAUGCAAAUUGGAUGUUUCAGAUGGAGAUGCCUGGUACAUGUGGAAUUCCCUAGCUGACCUGCUUAUGAAUACUUGACUCCAGCAAAGACACAAAAAAGAUUGAAAUGUAGAAGAUUCAUUGUACCUAAUCCAGCUUAUUCUGCAAGACAAAAUCCGUAAAGACAGCCAAUUGUCUUCAUAACAGUUCAGAUUCAUUUUCUCACCCCCAUAUUAUUAGAUGAAUUAUUGUUCCUAUUUGAACUGAAUUUAUCUUGCCUGUUUGAACAUUUUAUGAAACUUUGAUACCUAAAUAGACGAGGAACCUUUCAAAGCUCAAAUUCCAAUAAAGAGGUAUAUUUGUUUUUUUCAUCUUUGGUUGGAAAUUUCAGGAGAGUUGACGCUGAUGUGUGUCUUUUCUUUCUGUUCUAUUACUUAAGACAAAUUCUUACUUCUAUUGCACAAUGUUUGUUUGUUUAUUUAACUAAUUAAUUAGUUAGAUAAUUUGGGGGAACAUCUUGACAAACUUGCAAUGUUUUUUUGUCUAAAAAUAGAAAUAAUCCAAUAUUUUGAAUUUAUUUUAUAGUGAGAAUAUUAGUACAAGAGUAAUAAAAAAAAAAAACAAGAAUGCAUUCAUCCUGGUUUACAAACCGAUGGAUCAACUAUGUGAAGAAUUUUACAGAUAAGUAAGUGAUAAUUGCUUAAGUCAUGCAGUAAUACACUCAGUGGAAGAAACCUCAUGCCAGCCCCCCAGUGAAACCUUUACUUAAAAUUCUUUGUUUUCACAGCAUGGAGUUCUAUGAAGUACAGAAGGAAUACUGAAAAGUUAGAUAUUUCAGGUUGAACAUCAUUUGCAUAUUUUUACCAAAGUGCCCCAAACUAGAUGAUUAAAUCUUCAGAGGUUCUUUUACUGUCAGUGGAGAGCAAUGGAGUGCCUUCCUAGAGGCUGACUCAUUUUAACAUACUUAUCUGAGAUAAAUCAGAUGUAUUAAUCUUGAAUGCUUUUUUCUCUUUUUUGGCUAUUCAGAGGUCCAAGGAUGACUAACUCAGACAUCAAAAUAUACCCUUUGGAUAUGAAAGAUUAAGGAAGAGAAAUUCUACUGCUAAAGUUUUGUUUUACAAAGCUUCACAACUGUAAAGGCAUGAGGCACAUACACAGAAAUGAUUCAGUGCAUUUAAUCACAGGCCAAUUGCUGCAUACAUUUGCAAGGAUGAUACCUCUCCUUUACAGCAACAUGUAGUUCUCAAAAAGUAAUGCUCAGCUACUGUCAACUAAGCAUAAUUUUGUUCUCUCUCCAUCUAAAAUACUGAGUUAUUAGCAAGCAGAAUCAGAACAAUAUCACUGCAAUUCCCUUAGGACUGCCAUAAGACAGGGUCAUUGGGGGUAUUAUAAAAAGUAAAAUAUCUCUCCUCCCCACACUGCUGUAAUGCUGUCUGUACUGAAGAAAUGCAACUCUAACAGUAAUUGUACAAUAUGUUUCCAUAUUAAUGUUAUCCUGAAUAAAGAUGAUUACAUUUUAAAAAGA
Molecule: long non-coding RNA, 1993 nt
Organism: Meleagris gallopavo (turkey)
Lineage: Eukaryota; Metazoa; Chordata; Aves; Galliformes; Phasianidae
Source: RefSeq, a predicted model, not a curated record